CUGGAGGUGGAAGCUCCCAAGGUGGAGCCGGAACUGUCAGAUGAGAAACCCGGCGUGGUCAUCGGCUGUGUCCUAGCAACCACUUCUGAUUUCCAGCACCCCAUGAACAUUCAGGUCCUGGGAGAUGUGUGCAGAGAUGUGGCAGAGGAGAACCGGGAUGUCAGUCAGGACCUUCUCAAAAAGCAUAAGAAAGGAGGCAUCCGUGGAUUCUUCCGGCGUGUUCGUAAACUGUUUUCCUGCUGUUGCUCCGGCCUCCCAACAGAGGAAGACUAGCACCCUCACAUGUGGACCAUCUGAGUCAUCACACCA
Molecule: long non-coding RNA, 309 nt
Organism: Hypomesus transpacificus
Lineage: Eukaryota; Metazoa; Chordata; Actinopteri; Osmeriformes; Osmeridae
Exons: 3
Source: RefSeq, a predicted model, not a curated record